UGCUGAGGAGUCCCAUACUAGGACGAAACGGCCGUCCAGUGC
Molecule: non-coding RNA, 42 nt
Organism: Schistosoma haematobium
Lineage: Eukaryota; Metazoa; Platyhelminthes; Trematoda; Strigeidida; Schistosomatidae
Source: Rfam